CAGCAGUCGCCGCGGUAAUACGUAGGGCGCAAGCGUUAUCCGGAAUUAUUGGGCGUAAAGAGCUCGUAGGCGGUUUGUCGCGUCUGCCGUGAAAGUCCGGGGCUCAACCCCGGAUCUGCGGUGGGUACGGGCAGACUAGAGUGAUGUAGGGGAGACUGGAAUUCCUGGUGUAGCGGUGAAAUGCGCAGAUAUCAGGAGGAACACCGAUGGCGAAGGCAGGUCUCUGGGCAUUAACUGACGCUGAGGAGCGAAAGCAUGGGGAGCGAACAGGAUUAGAUACCCCAGUAGUCCCUGUCUCUUAUAC
RNAcentral lists this ribosomal RNA (304 nucleotides) under uncultured bacterium. Its description in RNAcentral is "partial 16S ribosomal RNA". It matches the Rfam family "Bacterial small subunit ribosomal RNA", at positions 509 to 807 of the family's 1533-position model. The record is from RNAcentral.